CAAAGAUCUUCCUGAGGUCCCAGCCUCUGAAUGGCGGCAGCCCUUUGCGAACUACCAGCUUGCUCUCUUGCCACAAUGUCACACGGAGGUUUCCAGGAUCCUCACUAGAGGUGUGGCAGGCAGGCCUGAAAUGACCAAUUCAAAGUCCCUCUUGUUGCUACUGAAGCAUGUUUGAGACCUGCGAGGAGGAGGAGGCCUCUAUCAGAGCAAAGAAUUUGGAGCUGCUUCCAAUCUGAAACUUCCUUAGCGUUGUAAAAAGCACCCUUCAUUCGAAAUCGCUCAGUGCCUGGACUCAGAGAAAGUGGGAGAGUUACCAAGGCUCGGCCCCCAAGGCACAGUGAGAAGAAACUGAGGCAAUGCCAAGAACACCCCGACCUCAUGAGCUUCAAAGAAGCUGCUGCUGCAGUUCCCGGUUCUGAGGCACCUCCAAGACCACUCUCAUCCAAACUCUCAAAACACUCCCCUUGGGUGAGCUGUCCCUUAAAAGGAACAGGGCUGGGCCUUCACAAAGGCUCCUGUGAGACUUCUACCCCCUAUGGGUCUGGUAGCACCAAGGGAUUUCUCAUGCUAUGACCACAGACAUCAUCAAGAGGGUAGAGAGACCAAGUGGCCAGUGAAUUGGCACACAUGAAGAUUCUUUGUGAUCUGUAAAGAAAGUGUAAAAUCUGCAACAAACUGUGGAAUAAUCUGACAUAGGAAGAGGUGGAUGGUACAGAAGAACAAUAAAAUAAUAGCCAGCCUUUAUUGACUGGUUGCUUCAUGCCACUACUGCUCUGUGUGCUUUUACAUGUAUAAAAUGCGUAUUUGUCAUAAGACCCUUUGAAACGGCCCUACUGUCACUCCUAUUUUAUAGAUGAUGAAGCCCAGGACAGCACAAGGCUAGUGAGUGGUGCUGCACCCACGGAGUCUCUCCAGAGCCUGCACCUCUUACCCUCAGCUCGCCCUCCCCUCUGCUCCAUCUUACACUCCAAGAACAGCUUGGUGGGCUGUGUCCUCCACAGCAUGCCAGCAGCCCCCUCCUCCCACUCCAGCAAACCCCAGCCAAGACCACUCUGGCCCUGUUCCUCCAAGUGAACCCGAAACAACAGCCUCCUCCAGAACAUCCUCCCUACUUCAGUUACUCCAUUAGUUUCCUAAGAUAAUGUGGGCAAACAUUUCUCAAAUAAUCCCUGUGGACAGCUGCCCAUGCUGGGCACAGAUAGGGCCUUCCCUGAGCUCACCCCCUCCUAGACCCUCCCAG
RNAcentral lists this long non-coding RNA (1240 nucleotides) under Homo sapiens (human). RNAcentral's name for it is "HSALNT0046344". Lineage: Eukaryota; Metazoa; Chordata; Mammalia; Primates; Hominidae. The record is from RNAcentral.